UCAAUGAAUUGAGACAAAAGAGAAAAGAAUUCUAAAAGUACAAUUCCCAUAGAUGUAAAAAAACUAUAAUCCGUACUUCCAAGUACAAAUUUGGAAUAGGUCUCUUUUGCCAAAAUAUUAACUUGUAGAGCUGAAGCCCAAAUAGACAACCAUUGUAUAGUUACACCGAACUGAAAUAACAGAGCUGAAUGGUGAAAAAUAAUCUAUGUAGCCGAUCUCAAAGCAAGUUUGAUUGUUGUUUUUUGUGUUUUGAAAUGGAUGUUGCAGCAAACUGUGUGAUUUGGAUUGUAGCAUGAUUAUGGGUCUAGUAU
Molecule: unclassified non-coding RNA, 311 nt
Filed under: Hevea brasiliensis (rubber tree)
Lineage: Eukaryota; Viridiplantae; Streptophyta; Magnoliopsida; Malpighiales; Euphorbiaceae
Source: RNAcentral